AUUGAACGCUGGCGGCAUGCCUUACACAUGCAAGUCGAACGGCAGCACGGGUGCUUGCACCUGGUGGCGAGUGGCGAACGGGUGAGUAAUACAUCGGAACAUGUCCUGUAGUGGGGGAUAGCCCGGCGAAAGCCGGAUUAAUACCGCCUACGAUCCACGGAUGAAAGCGGGGGACCUUCGGGCCUCGCGCUUUAGGGUUGGCCGAUGGCUGAUUAGCUAGUUGGUGGGGUAAAGGCCUACCAAGGCGACGAUCAGUAGCUGGUCUGAGAGGACGACCAGCCACACUGGGACUGAGACACGGCCCAGACUCCUACGGGAGGCAGCAGUGGGGAAUUUUGGACAAUGGGCGAAAGCCUGAUCCAGCAAUGCCGCGUGUGUGAAGAAGGCCUUCGGGUUGUAAAGCACUUUUGUCAGGAAAGAAAUCAUUGACUCUAAUACAGUCGGGGGAUGACGGUACCGGAAGAAUAAGCACCGGCUAACUACGUG
Molecule: ribosomal RNA, 486 nt
Filed under: uncultured bacterium
Lineage: Bacteria
Description: partial 16S ribosomal RNA
Rfam family: Bacterial small subunit ribosomal RNA
Source: RNAcentral